Molecule: ribosomal RNA, 329 nt
Filed under: uncultured eukaryote
Lineage: Eukaryota
Description: partial 18S ribosomal RNA
Rfam family: Eukaryotic small subunit ribosomal RNA
Source: RNAcentral
CCCUUAGAUGUCCUGGGCCGCACGCGCGCUACACUGAGUGUCUGAGAUACGAGUCUGCCUGGUCCCGCAAGGUCUAGGUAAUCGCUAAAAGACACAUCAUGCUUGGGAUAGAUUAUUGCAAAUAUUAAUCUUGAACGAGGAAUUCCUAGUAAGCGCAAGUCAACAGCUUGCGUUGAUUACGUCCCUGCCCUUUGUACACACCGCCCGUCGCUACUACUGAUUGGAUGUUUAAGCGAGGUUCUCGAACUGCUAGCGACUUAGCUUCGGUGAGGUCGCAGUGUGGGAAGUGAACCUAGCUUUGGUGUCUAGAGGAAGUAAAAGUCGUAACA